This 293-nucleotide ribosomal RNA is filed under the name uncultured bacterium. RNAcentral's name for it is "partial 16S ribosomal RNA". The record is from RNAcentral.
GGACUACCCGGGUAUCUAAUCCCGUUCGCUCCCCUGGCUUUCGCGCCUCAGCGUCAGGUACGGCCCAAGAAGCCGCCUUCGCCACCGGUGUUCCGACUGAUCUCUACGCAUUUCACCGCUACACCAGCCAUUCCACUUCUCUCUACCGCCCUCAAGAAAGCCAGUAUGAGAAGCACUGCAGGAGGUUGAGCCUCCGCCUUUCACUUCUCACUUAACUUCCCGCCUACGCGCGCUUUACGCCCAGUAACUUCGGACAACGCUCGCCCCCUACGUAUUACCGCGGCGGCUGGCAC